ACUUGCUUUGGCAAGUACAUACAAUAAAAUGGAACGAUACACAAAAGAUUAGCAUGGCCCCUGCACAUGGAUGACUUGCAAAUUGUUAAGUGUGCCACAUUUUU
This is a small nuclear RNA of Macrobrachium nipponense, 104 nucleotides long. The record is from RefSeq and is a predicted model, not a curated record. NCBI's taxonomy places the organism in Eukaryota, Metazoa, Arthropoda, Malacostraca, Decapoda, Palaemonidae.